Molecule: long non-coding RNA, 6598 nt
Filed under: Sus scrofa (pig)
Lineage: Eukaryota; Metazoa; Chordata; Mammalia; Artiodactyla; Suidae
Description: lncRNA (ENSSSCG00025015475.1)
Source: RNAcentral
ACAAACCCAGCUAGUAUCCAGGAGGAUGCGGGUUCAGUCCCUGGCCUCACUCAGUGGGUUAAGGAUCUGGUGUUGCCAUGAGCCAUGGUGUAGGUUGCAGAUGUGGCUCUGAUCCUGCAUUGCUAUGGCUGUGGUAUAGGCCAGCAGCUAUAGUUCUGAUUUGACCCCUAGCCAGGGAAUUUCCAUGUGCUACAAGUGUAGCCCUAAAAAGAAAAAAAAAUUAUAGGAUCAUGUAAUGAAAAAUUCCAGGUAAACAGAUCUACAUUGAUGUCUCAAGCAAGUAUCCAAGAGCCCAUCCAUUUCAUAUUUGUCUGUCACGGACAUAAGAUGGCAAUAGCAACUGAAGAACUUAGACUUAUACAACUCUAAAUCCAUUGAUAACACCAUAACCUCUCUCUUGAAUUAAUAAUUGAUGCCUUGGGGAAUGCAACUAAUAAUUCUUAAACUAAUAAUUGAUGCCUUAGGGGAAUGCAAGACUAAUUGGCUUAGGCCUAGAUCAUGAGCCUACUCUAAGCACAUGGCUGAAAGUGGAAGGGUCAUGUGAUCUACAAAGAGUAAAUAAAGGUAUGGUUUCAAAAAGCAAGGUGAAUGAAUUCUGAGUGGCAAAAUAAUCAAUGCCCAAUUAAUAUACACAAAUAAAAACCAUCUAAGAAUUCAAUCAAGGAAACACAUGGUUGCAGAUGAAAAUAGCUGAAUGUAAAUAUAACAACAUUAUUAUAUGGAUAUGAGAAGGGAGAGGCACACAUACUGUCAUUUUCUUGCUUCCAUAAACUCAAGAUAUCUUCUACUGAUUAAAGACAAGAAAAUUGUACCUCCCGUGGUAUACUGAAGUGUUUUCACAAUGCCUUCAUAAUGGUCAUGUGAAGGGCAGGGAUUGGUUUUAAAAAUUCAGAAGACCACUAUAAAAUAACCUAGUUAUUUACACAAUAACAUAAAUGCAAUUACCUUGGUUUGAAUAUUGAAACAUGCACAAGAUUGCUUAUUGUCUACUGUCCAGAGGGUAUGGACAUUAGAAAAGAAAAUUUAAUAUUUGCAUUGGAUUUUGUAUUUUAUAGAGAAAGCAAGAAUUAUAUUUCUCUGUGCUUUAAGUAUGUGGAAACUGUAGCAAAAAUGGAUCUUAUAAACAUGUCUGCUAAAGCUCAGAUUAUUUUUAAUAAGAUAGUAUUUAUUUUCAGCGAGUAACCAGUUAACUAAAAUAAUUGAUAGCUUUACUUUUUAAUUCUUGAUGAGUCAAUGGUCUUCCAUAUAAUACCUUUAAGUCUUAAAAUAAACUUCAGUUGUUACAUACAACAGUAUCAAUGAGCAUCUCUAAGUGGUUUAACAAAGAACAGAGGAAAGAGACUCAAUGGAAAUAAAAACACCACAUGGGGCAAAUCAUGAUACUUACCUUAGUAAAUAAUAUUUUGGCCAUAUUAAAAUAGUUAGGCAUAUAAUACGAAGGGGAAAAUGUCAUUGAAAGACUUCUAAUUGGAACAAUAGUGUCCUCAUUCUUCAGUAAUAAUCUGGCUUAAACUGCAACUAAAAAAGCAGCUUAAAUUAUCCUGAAAAAAAAUGAUUAAAGUCCAGGGAACACUCUAGGAAAACAAGUUCAUAUAAUAAGCAUAAAAUGAAACUAAAAAUUGCAUUUUAAUUUGUCUAUCCCUUUCAUUUGAAAAAGUGAGGUCCAGAUCAGCUAAGAGACUUGCCUAGGGUCACACAAAGUAUAACUCCUAAAUCACUGGUUUUCAAAGUAGAGCGCAGUUACUUUGUGUUUAUAAAAGAGAUCCACAGGGUAAAGGAAAAAAAAAACACAUUAAAUGUCCUUAAUUUUUUGUGUGUUUUAUUAUUUACACAAUAUGUUUGCAGAGGCAUGUGCAUACAGAAAUUUUUUUUUCUGAUCUUUAUGCCCAGUCAAAAUCAUUUGUAGACCACUGUCUUAAAAUUAUAACCCAAACCUGGACCAAACUUCCCCUCAUGACUCCUUUGACCCCUCCCUCAAUCGGGUCACUAUCUGCUACUGAGCAUGUGCAACUCUGUCACCAUCAACUGAACACACACUCUCUCUCAGCUGGGGAAUGGGAAUCAAAGUUAUUUCAGCUAUGAGCUUUAGAUUUUUAUUUCUUUAUCUGUCUACUUCAAAAAUAUUGCCAUGCUUUUUUAAAACACAUAAAUUACAAAGAAGAAAGAAACCCAACUAUUAAGGUAACACUACUACUUCUGCAGCGAAGAGUCAAAGGAAAUAAGAACUUUUCAUAAAAUACAACAACCAGAAACACCUCUCACACCUCCUCUAGUACAAAAUACAAAAUCACCUUUGACGACUUUUUGAAAGAGAUAUGGUCUGUAUCCGACAUGCUAAUUGAGUUAUCAGUCCUCAAACACUGAUGAAGAGUGAAUCAAUUAUCACAUACACUUUAUUCUGUAGCCUGUACACUGAUAAAUAACACUGGGGCCACCUUCCACUGGGCUUCUGCUCAACAGCCCUGAGACUGACACUCUCCUGGAGGGGAGAUCUAGUUGGUAAAAUAAAAAGUGUGUGGGAGUAAGUCUACACUGAUUACAGCCUGAGUUUAAAAGUUAAAUUUAGGAGAUCAUAUAGCUCAGAAUUUCUUCAGAAUGUAGCAUUUUCAACAAGUAAAAACUUCAAGACACUGUAGAAAGAAGCCAUGACCAUGAGGAUAUUUUUCUUUCUCCCUGGAUUAUAAAAAGACACUCAAAAUAUACAUGACCCUCUGUAGAACAGUUUCCUUAAACAUACAGAGAAGGGCAAUAUUCAAAUGACUUAUUUGGGCAUUUCAGAAGUCUACAUUUCCUUGGAUGGUGAUCAAAAUAGGUGGGCCUCCUCAAUGCAUUCCUGCUUAUAACAGAAUGCAGCACAGGACAAUAGCUAAGGCAUAGGUUCUUGAAUCAGAUUCUCUGGCUUUGAACCAUGGCUCUGACACUUACUAGUUGUUUGACCAUAGGCAGGUUAGUUAAUUACUCUAAACUUCAGUUUCCUUAUCAACAAAGUAGAGAUCAAAAUAGAGUCUAAUAGGGUGGCUGUGAUAAUUAAAUGGUUUUAUAAAUGGUACCUAACAGAGUACCUGAUAAAUUGUAGUUGCUAUGGUGAUGGUGGUUGGAGAUGAUAAGUGUUACAUCAAACUUCCUGGGGAUUUAAGUUGCUCUCUAAAAUAUGAGAUGGUUAAUGUCAUUUGUCCUUUUGAGUUAUUCUUAUUUGGCAUUUCCUUAUCACUCACUGAGUAUAACAUGUAGGGACCUGUACAGAGAAUUAUAUCAAACCAAACUCCUGCCUUGAAGGAAGUGACUCUUAUUUGGCUUCUUUAUUGCACACCUACGACUGUGAAAGGCAGCACUCUCACUCCAUAUUCCCUACAAUAGUGGCUAAACUUCAGCAUACUAUUUUAAAAAAAAUUACAAUAAUCUUUUCCAACUCCUUAUUUACCAUUAACAUGUAUAGAACUGGUAAGGAGGGCUGUGUCCUAUGGGAUAAAAUAUGGUAAUUCUGGUGAGCCCAAGGACCAGAAUUCCAUGAUAGCUCCUCUGGUUAGAAUAGAGUUCCAGAUGCAAUGGGACCUCCAAUGGGGCUUUACCAAAAGCCUUCUUUGUUUCUUGGCCUUGACACUGGAGUCAACAUUUUGACUAGCAAAUACCUUCUCAUCAUAUAGCUUCUUAACUUGUACACCUCUUAUCUUGAAACGGGACGGUAACAGGGUUAACAGAAAGAUACUCAACACAAAUAGGGAAAGGAUAUUAGUUCCAACGGUGUGGAUAACAAACAAAACUUACUACACACAGAUGGCAGGUAUACAGAGCAAGAGACUCAGCCCUACUCCCAGUUAGAGGGGUAAGCUUCCUUUAUCUUCCAGUCCCCUGAAAGUACCUUACUAUCAAUGAUACCAGUUACUUAUUGGAAUGAGAAACCCAUUUAGUAUUUUAUGCAAGGUAUUUUUGCCAUUUUCAGUAGGAUCUUGGUCCUUCUUAAUUAUUCUAGGGACUUUGGCCACUUAUCUACCUGCCCACCCAUAAGGUUGCAAAAAAAAAAAAAAUGAAAACAACGCAGUACAUACCUGUAUGCUUCCUGCAAGGAUAAGUAAACAAGAGCUCUAUUUCCAACAUUCAGUUUUCCACAAACACUCUCCGCACAGUAGGCCUAGGUCUACAACCUAUUAAUAGUUUUCUACAUUUUUAGCAGAGGACUUCUUUUUUCAACUAAUUAUUCAUGCUAAAAUCUAAUAUAUAAAGGAGAUUAAAGUGAAGAUUCAGUGGUUGAAACAGAUUGAGAGGCCAAGAGUCUUUCCCAUUUGGCCAUCAGUUUUGUAUCCCAAACCCCCAAUCUCAGUCAUUCCAGUGGAGGCUAAUGAUCAAAAUCAUAUACUCCAGAGGCAGAAUAGCUAGAAUGAAUCCUGACUCUAGCAUUUCCUCUCUAAACCAUGUGUUACAAUGUGGAGAAAGGGCUAAGAUUAUUCUGUGAACAGGUAGAAAUGAAGAAAACAGAAACCCCAUGAAUUAAAAAGGUUAUUCAUUAAACCUGGAAUAGGAAGAAGAGGUGCUAAAAGCCUACCUAACUCGCCUUUUUGCCUCAAGUUAACAGCUGAGGCAGUUCUGAGAUUAAAACAGAAACUAAGUCAUGAUGACAACCCUUUAGAAAGGCUUAAGAAAAACCCUGCAUCUGGGAUAGCUUAGGCUAACUAGGUCCUUUGCAUUAUGCUCAUACAUCAUAAUGCAGAUUCACAGCUGUGAAAGCACAUCUGGAUAGCAUGAUUGUGAUUCCAGCCAAUCUCUAAGGGAACUUUUAUAUCAAGGCAAGUGCCAGUUGAACACGUUUGAAGCCUAUAAACUUCUAAUUUUAAGAACAAACAGCCUGUUUCAGACAAUAGGAUUAUAAACCUACAUGAUAUAUCUUUUAUAAUUAUUGCUACUUCGUCAAAGAAGACUUGUCUAUGUAUUAUUCCCCAAAAAGAGAAAUCCACCACAUUUUUUAGCAUUCAUUAAAUGCAUGUCAUCUUUUCAUAUAGGUUUAGGAAUAGUAAUAAUUACCCAAGCAAAUAAUUACCCAAUACAGCUCUUCCCUGCCUUUUUAAGUGACCUCAGAAAACUGACUCUUGCCCUUUUCUUAACCAACACAUGCACAUUUCCUGGAUUAAAUACCACAGCAUUACACAGUCAAUGGCCAGUGCCUUCUUCAACAAAAAUGCAAGCAGUAUAUAAAGUCCUCUGGAUUAGUGAGGUCAACAACUGUUUGAGGCACAUGAUACACAAAGUACUAUGUUGAGGAAUCUAAAGAUGUCCUCGUCUAUAAUUAAAAUAAAGUGAGAUAUAUAAUAAAAGGCCCAUAGAAAGUUAGCAGAAAAAGGAACCUUAAGGAAUGUCUAGUUCAAUUCCCUCCUUUUUUUUAACAUCCUCAUCUUACAGACGAAUAAACUAAAGCUCCUUGUUGUAUACUCAGUUAUGGCACUACUAGGGCAAAAUCUGGGGUCUCCUGAUUCUCAUAUUGGUACUUUGCUACAUCACAGUAUGUUCAACAACUCGAGGAAAGAGGAGGUAGAAGUUACUUCUCAGUGGAGAUCUGGAAAAGCUGCAAUGGAAAUGCUACGCUCUGAAGAUUGUUCAGAAUACAACAGGUAAAGAUGAACAAAGGGGCAAAUGAGGCAAGGAAAAGGAAGAGAAGAAGCAUGUAUGUACAACUGGAAAAGCAUGAGUCAUUUUGGACCUGAAAACAGUCCAGUUUAGCUAGAAGCUUGCAGUUUCUGAACAAGGGUGCUCCUGGCAUUUCUGGUGCGACACUGUUGAAAUGGUGAGGAUAUAUUUCACUUGCUAGACAUCUCUGGUUCCAAACCACUAGACACCCUUAUCAUUCACACUCAGUGUGACAACCCAAAAUACCCCAAGAGAUCUCCAAACCUCACCACUCCCAGUUUAGAACCGCUGAACAUAAAUAUGGGGUGUCUAGGGAUAGGAAUAGUAUUUGAAAAGGCUGAAAGUUGGUUGGGUUCAGAUAAUGAAAACCUUAAAGAAGCUAAAAAUACAAAAGGAAAUUCCCAUUGUGGCUCAGGGGAUUAAGAACCUGACAUAGUUGUCUGUGAGGAUGCAGGUUUGAUUCCUGGUCUCGCUCUGUGGGUUAAGGAUCCAGCAUUGCCGCAAGCUGCAACAUAGGUCACAGAUGUGGCUUGGGUCCAGUGUUGCUGUGGCUGUGGUUUAGGCCAGCAGCCCAGGAACUUCCAUAUGUCACAGAUGUGGCUGUCAAAAAAUAAAAAAUAAAAAUAAGCAGUAGCUGCUCAUACCUUUCUCAGCAGGCUACAAGGAAACACUGGAUGUAAUAGGGAAAAGUCUUUGUUUGCUAUGUUCUUCAGGAAGGAUUCUGGUAGCAUCAUUGUAGCAAAUAAUUAAGGUGGGUUAAGAGAUGAAAGCAGGGAGACAAGUUACUCGGUUCCAGUAAUAACACAUACGUGUGUGUUCCAGUAAUAACACAUACGUGUCUUUCUUUCCUUUUAUCACUCCUACUACUGUGUCUACAUGGGCUUUGACGUCUACUCUGGAUUCUGACUCCUGGCCUCUAUUGUGAAACUUGGAAUAAAGUUUUCCUCUUAGAUUUAAUCAUAGAGUAUUUCUUUGUCACUUA